AUAUACUGUAGUAUCCUCUCAACAGAAACCAUCUCUUUCUCUGUUUCUGUGAAACUUGUUAAGAAGCUUCCAAGUAAAGAUACAAUUGGAGCCGCAUAUGAGAGAGCCAAACCAACCAACCCUGGAGUACCUAAAUUGAUGGGGAGGUAUUCAUGAGAACCGAUAACUGCCAUCACCGCAAUGAAUGAGACGAUAAAUGCUGCA
RNAcentral lists this unclassified non-coding RNA (204 nucleotides) under Hevea brasiliensis (rubber tree). The record is from RNAcentral. Lineage: Eukaryota; Viridiplantae; Streptophyta; Magnoliopsida; Malpighiales; Euphorbiaceae.